Non-coding RNA from Pelobates cultripes (western spadefoot toad), 257 nucleotides. NCBI's taxonomy places the organism in Eukaryota, Metazoa, Chordata, Amphibia, Anura, Pelobatidae. The record is from the annotation of a GenBank genome assembly.
CUCAGAAGCCCAGUUUGCUAAAAAAAAAGAAAAAAAAGAAAAAAAAAAAGAAUACAAACCAAUUCUCAGUCUAAAUGGUAUAAGGUUCUAGUAAGUUAUAGGUGCAUGCCAAAUGUGGUUUUGUGAACCUUUUUUUUUAAAAUGUAUGAUUAAUACAUUUCAAGGUCAGCAUUUGUAAUUAUUUAAAAAUUCAAUAUAAAAAGUGUGUCUCCUGCAAUGGGCCCUGAUUCUCCUAUUGUCAUGCAACUUGACACAGG